AUGGCCAUCUUUGAUGAAUUCUUUGUGGGAUCUAUUGACCUAGGCCGCCUCAACUUCGGGACCAUCUCCCUCAUCCCCAAGGUCCCUGGAGCGGCUGACAUCCGCCAGUUCCGCCCGAUCACGGUCAUUAACGUGAUCUUCCGGAUCCUGGCCAAGGGGUACGCCAAUAGGGUGACCCUGCUUGCUGAUCGGAUUACCCACCCUAACCAAUCGGCCUUCAUUAAGGGACGGUUCAUCCUGGAUGGUGUCCUGGUGCUUCAUGAGGUUCUUCAUGAGGUCCGGGUCAAGCGCCUGAAGGCGGUUUUUCUGAAGAUCGAUUUCCAUAAAGCCUAUGACACGGUUAGCUGGACCUUCCUUAGGGAAGUCCUU
RNAcentral lists this ribosomal RNA (369 nucleotides) under Triticum aestivum (bread wheat). RNAcentral's name for it is "partial small subunit ribosomal RNA". The record is from RNAcentral. Lineage: Eukaryota; Viridiplantae; Streptophyta; Magnoliopsida; Poales; Poaceae.